GUGAGGAAUUUUCCGCAAUGGGCGAAAGCCUGACGGAGCAAUGCCGCGUGAAGGAUGAAGGCCUAUGGGUUGUAAACUUCUUUUCUUAGAGAAGAAUAUUGACGGUAUCUGAGGAAUAAGCAUCGGCUAACUCUGUGCCAGCAGCCGCGGUAAGACAGAGGAUGCAAGCGUUAUCCGGAAUGAUUGGGCGUAAAGCGUCUGUAGGUGGCUUCAAAAGUCUCCUGUCAAAGAUCAGGGCUUAACCCUGGGCCGGCAGGAGAAACUCUGAGGCUAGAGUUUGGUAGGGGCAGAGGGAGUGCCCGGUGGGGCGGUGAAAUGCGUAGAGAUCGGGAGGAACACCAAAGGCGAAAGCACUCUGCUGGGCCACAACUGACACUGAGAGACGAAAGCGAGGGGAGCAAAAGGGAUUAGAAACCCUGGUAGUCC
Molecule: ribosomal RNA, 426 nt
Filed under: uncultured bacterium
Lineage: Bacteria
Description: partial 16S ribosomal RNA
Rfam family: Bacterial small subunit ribosomal RNA
Source: RNAcentral